CAAAACAACAAAAAGACAGUCUCAGUUCAGAUUGUAGGCUGAAACUCGCCUAUAUGAAGUCGGAAUUGCUAGUAAUCGCAGAUCAGCAUGCUGCGGUGAAUACGUUCCCGGGCCUUGUACACACCGCCCGUCACACCAUGAGAGUCGAUAACACCCGAAGCCUGUAGUCUAACCAUAAGGAGGACGCAGUCGAAGGUGGGAUUGAUAAUUAGGGUGAAGUCGUAACAAGGUAAC
RNAcentral lists this ribosomal RNA (234 nucleotides) under uncultured bacterium. RNAcentral's name for it is "partial 16S ribosomal RNA". It matches the Rfam family "Bacterial small subunit ribosomal RNA", at positions 1268 to 1500 of the family's 1533-position model. The record is from RNAcentral.